RNAcentral lists this ribosomal RNA (356 nucleotides) under uncultured bacterium. Its description in RNAcentral is "bacterial SSU rRNA". It matches the Rfam family "Bacterial small subunit ribosomal RNA", at positions 28 to 361 of the family's 1533-position model. The record is from RNAcentral.
GAUGAACGCUGGCGGCGUGCUUAACACAUGCAAGUCGAGCGAAGCACUUUACUUUGAUUUCUUCGGAUUGAAGAGUGUUGUGACUGAGCGGCGGACGGGUGAGUAACGCGUGGGUAACCUGCCUCAUACAGGGGGAUAACAGUUAGAAAUGGCUGCUAAUACCGCAUAAGACCACGGUACCGCAUGGUACAGUGGUAAAAACUCCGGUGGUAUGAGAUGGACCCGCGUCUGAUUAGGGUAAGUUCGGUGAGGUAACGGCCCACCAAGCCGACGAUCAGUAGCCGACCUGAGAGGGUGACCGGCACAUUGGGACUGAGACACGGGCCCAAACUCCUACGGGAGGCAGCAGUGGGGAA